GCUUGAUUAAUGAUUCAUUAAUUACUCCAUGACAAGAACAUCUUGCAUGGUUUUAUAUGCUAACAUAACGUCACUUUAUAUACACAUACCUACAUAUUAACUAAGCAACUAAUCAUCAACUUAAGUAUUAAAGUAACACAUCUAUUCAAUAUAGGUAUCAUGGUGGACCUCCUUGAUGAUUGCGAUUAUUAUGGCAAGAAGAAGAAGCCAAAGCAAGAAUAGAGCUUGCGAGUUGAUUAAUGGCGUCUACCAAACCAUUCAUACCUUGUCUAUUUAUUUCAGUUUUUGAUUCCUCAAUCUUUAGUCUCCUCUCUUGUAGCCUCACCACUUCCUUAUGCCUCCUCUCUUGUCCCUCCUCAUUCUCUCUUAUCACUUGUGUGAUCACAGACGUGCAUCUAGACAACGCCACCCCAACCGCAUCCUCCUCUACCUCCCUCUCUCCUCCAGCGGUGGUUUCUCCCGGCGUUGUUCUCCUUCGCUUUGUCGAUGAUGUACCUGAAUGCUUUAAGAAUAAGAAGAGAGAUAAAACGGAAGGUACCUACUGUGGGCGGUAUAGGCUCAGCGUGAAAUGAAGACGAUGGUGGAGGUUGAGGCGGCGAAGGAAGUGAUAAGCUAAGAGACUGUGGCGGUGGUGGCGGAAGAGAUAACACUAUAGUAGUCGGGAUUUGAUGCAUCGGCUGAGCCAUCAUCGGAGCUACAAAUCCUAAACUUUGUUGGCAAACUCUUAGGAUCUGGCCACCGUUACCGUUUCCUACGGCGGCGGCGGCGGAGGAGGAGGAAGGAAGAGUUUUUCUGUCAACAAGCUCAGACAACACGUCGUAUAUCUGAGGCAACAUGUUACUCGGCAAGUUCUUCUCUUUCCUCUCAGUCUUGUCCAUCUUCCAGUAAGAGGAAGAAGUGACGGUGUUAAAAGACGAUUCUACCCUUGAUCUCUCGUACUCUCUGAUCUUCUUGUAAUCCCUCAUGAGAUUGUCCCACUUAUCGUUGCACUGAUUCUGGUUGCGGUAACAUCCUCUUCUCCAGCAAUACUCCUCUAUCCAUUUCCACCGGAGCUCUGCUGGUUUGUUUCUGCCUUCAGGUUGUUUUUCCGAUCGCCGUACACGCCUCUGGUCGUCCAUCUUCUUGGCUUCUAUGAGAACCAAAGUCUCACUCACUGUCCAAUUCCCUUUUCUGCACUCUCUCAUAACUAUCUGUUCACCACUCGAUGGAUCAGCGUCAGCCAUAUAUGUGUCUCUUUGGAUUUACCAAGAGGUAGCCAUACGUGUGUCUUUGAAUCUUGAAUUCAUGAACUAGAGAGAGAAAGAAAUAAGUGUUGGAGAAAGGGGAGAAGAAAGAGAUGAGCCAAAGACCGGUCAAAGUCUUUUGUUUUCUAGUACUAAGAUUGUCACCAAGUUCGAAAAGACAGUGAUUCCAAUAAUGAGAAAAUAUGAAAAACAAAGCAAGUUUUUUUAUUCUAUGUUUCCUACUAAAUUAAAUAAUUGAACACCUAUCCUUUUUCUUUUCUUAUCUAUGUUUCACGUGAUG
Molecule: long non-coding RNA, 1524 nt
Filed under: Arabidopsis thaliana (thale cress)
Lineage: Eukaryota; Viridiplantae; Streptophyta; Magnoliopsida; Brassicales; Brassicaceae
Description: potential natural antisense gene, locus overlaps with AT2G35640 (AT2G35637)
Source: RNAcentral